Molecule: non-coding RNA, 96 nt
Organism: Mycena vulgaris
Lineage: Eukaryota; Fungi; Basidiomycota; Agaricomycetes; Agaricales; Mycenaceae
Source: the annotation of a GenBank genome assembly
GGGCGUGUAGUAUAGUUGGUUAUUGCGCCCGCUUCGCAUUGUCUCGCAAGAUCACUCGAUUGCGGGAGGUCUGGAGUUCGACUCUCCACUCGUCCA